This 265-nucleotide ribosomal RNA is filed under the name uncultured bacterium. RNAcentral describes it as "partial 16S ribosomal RNA". It matches the Rfam family "Bacterial small subunit ribosomal RNA", at positions 793 to 1055 of the family's 1533-position model. The record is from RNAcentral.
GUCCACGCCGUAAACGAUGAGAACUAGGUGUCGUGGGAGUUGACCCCCGCGGUGCCGUAGCUAACGCAUUAAGUUCUCCGCCUGGGAAGUACGGUCGCAAGACUAAAACUCAAAGGAAUUGACGGGGCCCGCACAAGCGGUGGAGCAUGUGGUUUAAUUCGACGCAACGCGCAGAACCUUACCUGGUCUUGACAUCCUUGGAAUCCUUCAGAGAUGAGGGAGUGCCCGCAAGGGAACCAAGAGACAGGUGCUGCAUGGCUGUCGU